GAUGGGGCGGGACAGACUCGGUCAGAGCUCGGGAACAGCUCCAGAGCCACUCGUGCCCAGAGUGGAUUCACUGUCACACAUUCCCUGCAAGAACGUUUGUGAGAGGAAAAGCAAAGUGCAAGCCUGAGUUGUUCUCUCUGAGGUCAAGAAUUAGGAAAAAUCUUCCUGGCACACAAAUCCAGAACUCUUGGAGGUCCAAAGGAGCUGCUCCUGCCUCCUUGUUCACACCAGAGAGGGGCUUGGAGUCUGUCCAGUGCUUCCAUGAACUCCAGUUCCAUCCUGCUGCUGCCCACAGAUAUGGUAGAAGAAUUUUAUUAUAUUCAAGGUGAUCUGGAAGAAUAGACAGGAAAGAAAAAUUAUCUAUGGCUGUAUAUCCAGUUGUUCCUUCUUGUUAAUGCAACUGCAAGAACCAUAAAGCAUAUGGUA
RNAcentral lists this long non-coding RNA (426 nucleotides) under Zonotrichia albicollis (white-throated sparrow). RNAcentral describes it as "lncRNA (ENSZALG00000001419.1)". Lineage: Eukaryota; Metazoa; Chordata; Aves; Passeriformes; Passerellidae. The record is from RNAcentral.